UAAUACGUAGGGAGCAAGCGUUGUUCGGAUUUACUGGGCGUAAAGGGCGCGUAGGCGGCGCGGUAAGUCACUUGUGAAAUCUCUGAGCUUAACUCAGAACGGCCAAGUGAUACUGCAGUGCUAGAGUGCAGAAGGGGCAAUCGGAAUUCUUGGUGUAGCGGUGAAAUGCGUAGAUAUCAAGAGGAACACCUGAGGUGAAGACGGGUUGCUGGGCUGACACUGACGCUGAGGCGCGAAAGCCAGGGGAGCAAACGGGAUUAGAUACCCCGGUAGUCCUGGUCCUAAACGAUGAAUACUUGGUGUCUGGAGUCAUUAUUGCUCCGGGUGCCGUCGCUAACGUUUUAAGUAUU
RNAcentral lists this ribosomal RNA (350 nucleotides) under uncultured bacterium. RNAcentral's name for it is "bacterial SSU rRNA". It matches the Rfam family "Bacterial small subunit ribosomal RNA", at positions 521 to 868 of the family's 1533-position model. The record is from RNAcentral.